This 541-nucleotide ribosomal RNA is filed under the name uncultured bacterium. RNAcentral describes it as "bacterial SSU rRNA". It matches the Rfam family "Bacterial small subunit ribosomal RNA", at positions 355 to 896 of the family's 1533-position model. The record is from RNAcentral.
UGAGGAAUAUUGGUCAAUGGACGCAAGUCUGAACCAGCCAUGCCGCGUGAAGGAUGAAGGCGUUCUGCGUUGUAAACUUCUUUUAUCUGGGAAGAAACCUCCGAUUUCUAUUGGAGCCGACGGUACCAGAGGAAUAAGCACCGGCUAACUCCGUGCCAGCAGCCGCGGUAAUACGGAGGGUGCAAGCGUUAUCCGGAUUCACUGGGUUUAAAGGGUGUGUAGGCGGGCUUUUAAGUCAGUGGUGAAAUCUCCGGGCUCAACCCGGAAACUGCCAUUGAUACUAUUAGUCUUGAAUAUUGUUGAGGUAGGCGGAAUAUGUCAUGUAGCGGUGAAAUGCUUAGAUAUGACAUAGAACACCGAUUGCGAAGGCAGCUUGCUAAACAAUUAUUGACGCUGAGGCACGAAAGCGUGGGGAUCAAACAGGAUUAGAUACCCUGGUAGUCCACGCCCUAAACGAUGAUUACUGGACAUUUGCGAUAUACAGUGAGUGUCUGAGCGAAAGCAUUAAGUAAUCCGCCUGGGAAGUACGUCCGCANGGAUG